GCUUGCUUCAGCAGUGCAUAUACUAAAACUGAAAUUAUCUAGAGAAGAUUAGCAUGGCCCCUGCACAAGGAUGACACGCAAAGUUGAACAAAUUUCUU
This 98-nucleotide small nuclear RNA is filed under the name Varanus komodoensis (Komodo dragon). The record is from RNAcentral. Lineage: Eukaryota; Metazoa; Chordata; Lepidosauria; Squamata; Varanidae.